Spinacia oleracea (spinach) is the source of this 513-nucleotide long non-coding RNA. RefSeq lists it as uncharacterized. The transcript is spliced from 3 exons. The record is from RefSeq and is a predicted model, not a curated record. NCBI's taxonomy places the organism in Eukaryota, Viridiplantae, Streptophyta, Magnoliopsida, Caryophyllales, Amaranthaceae.
AUCCUACCAUAAUAUUUACUACAAGAGUUUUAAUUUAUCAAGCCUUACAAAAAAAAACAACUACAACUACCCAAUUAAUUUGUGAUCACCUACCAAACAGAGAAUAUGAGUAAGUCAGAAACUCAACAACAAAAACAACAGCAGCAGCAGCAGCAACAAAACAUGGACAACAUUCCUCCUGCUGGUUACCCGACUCUAAAUACUCCCGAAGGAAAGAUGAAGAAGAAGGGCUGGUUCGGUACCAAGAAGAGGGGCGAGAAAGGUUUCAUUGAAGGAUGUUUGGCGGGGUUAUGUUGCUGUUGGAUCUGUGAAGAGUGCUGCUGCUAAAAGAUUCAUGGAUUCAUGAUGAUUUUUCUACCAUCUUCUUAAUAUAUUUUGUGGAGUGAAUUUUUCAAUUUAUGUGUAUUUAAUUUAUCAUUUUAUGAACAUACAGGUCAUGCUAUUUAUAUAUUUUUAAAUAUAUAUAUAUUGUCAUGUGAAUAAUAAAAAUAAUAUCCAGUGUUAGUUGUGUUA